Molecule: ribosomal RNA, 121 nt
Filed under: Streptomyces aureoversilis
Lineage: Bacteria; Bacillati; Actinomycetota; Actinomycetes; Kitasatosporales; Streptomycetaceae
Description: partial 16S rRNA
Rfam family: Bacterial small subunit ribosomal RNA
Source: RNAcentral
UCUAAUACCGGAUAUUGACCUUCACGGGCAUCUGUGAGGUUCGAAAGCUCCGGCGGUGCAGGAUGAGCCCGCGGCCUAUCAGCUUGUUGGUGGGGUAAUGGCCUACCAAGGCGACGACGGG